RNAcentral lists this transfer RNA (69 nucleotides) under Anthus richardi. RNAcentral describes it as "tRNA-Phe". The record is from RNAcentral. RNAcentral also lists the same sequence under 1 other name. Lineage: Eukaryota; Metazoa; Chordata; Aves; Passeriformes; Motacillidae.
GUCCCUGUAGCUUACAAAAAGCAUGACACUGAAGAUGUCAAGAUGGCUGCCUCUCCGCACCCAGGGACA